AGGAAAAUUAUGUGAUCACAAAAGUAUCAUCGUAAGGAUCAGUGCUGAACACUGUCCAGUUGCUGUGAAAAACGCAGAAUCUGUUAGUUUUUUGUGCUUGUUUUUUUUUCAUCGAUCCUCUGUCCUUUUGAUCAAUCGCGAGGUUCAGGAGGGCUUGGUGAACGGAGGCUCAUCAGUAUUAGCUGCACCACAUUGCCUCUUUUUAUUCGCGGACAAAGGUAUAUCACCGACCCAUUAUUGGUAGGUCGAGCUUCGACUAAUGGCCACAGCUUUGUAUUACCUGUGCGUUAUGGCAGUUUAUCAACAACUGACCUAUGGCGAGGCAAAAUGAACAACAGCUCGCUCAACAACAUGCCCGUCCACGCUCGGCAGAUUUAUUUUGUUUAGAAGAAACUGAAAUGUCUGGAUGAUGAGAAAAAAGGACGUUGUUUAAACUCAUGUGCACAUUGAAACUUAAUUAUUUUUGCCAGAAUAGUUUACUUUUAAAUUAACGUUUGUUUAUUUUGUGUUCAUACGUUUUGAUCGCCCUAUGAAUUUACCGGCUGUGAUAAACACUUUACUUCUUGGUUAAUACACUCAGCCCUGUGAAAAAGAAAACAUUUGUAGCUUAGCACGCCUUUCUACUGAGAACUUUUCUGGUCCGGGCCAAGACGGUAUUUGAGGAGAGACUCAACAGCAGUUCUUACACAAUGUAUUGUCAUGCCAAGGAUUAUGUUAGCUCCUUGAUUUAAAUAAGUUCUUCAAUAGGGGGUUUUAGCUUUCAAACUACAACUUGAACAAGUUUGAUGAUGUUCAAAAAAGGUUAAUUUUGAGUUCUGUUCACCAGGUCUCACCAGAUCUGCUGUCGUGAUCGAACACCACGUUAAAAAUACUGUUCGCAAAGCGGCCUUUGGGGACCGAUCACCGAACUCAGCGUUGAUUUCACAUAUUUUUUAGUGUAGACUAAAAUUCUAGGUAGCAUUUACAACCCCGGUAUCAUAGAUGCACUUCAAAAAAACUUUCUUGUCACACGACUCGGAGUUGGGAGUUUAAAUUUUGCUCACAGUUUCAUUUUUCUUGUACGCAUGACUCCAUCCACCGAUUGAACAAACGUUUCACGUAGACAAGAUUUUUCUGUCCAAAUUAUUUUUUCCUCAGUUUUCCUUUAAACGUUUCAUAUAAAACAAAUCAAUGUCACAUCCCUUCAAUCCAAGCUCCACGUUAACUGAAAACACUUUGUGUUUAGUAUUCAUCCUAAGGAGUCGAAAGGCUGAUUAAAUUCAGUUUAAUUGGAACAGAUCUUUGUAUCCCUUGUUUUGGGGAUACAUUCA
Non-coding RNA from Pocillopora verrucosa, 1310 nucleotides. The record is from RefSeq and is a predicted model, not a curated record. NCBI's taxonomy places the organism in Eukaryota, Metazoa, Cnidaria, Anthozoa, Scleractinia, Pocilloporidae.